CCUACGGGUGGCUGCAGUGAGGAAUAUUGGUCAAUGGGCGCUAGCCUGAACCAGCCAAGUAGCGUGAAGGAUGACUGCCCUCUGGGUUGUAAACUUCUUUUGCCGGGGAGCAAAGUGCCGCACGUGUGCGGUUUGGCGAUUACCCGGCGCACAAGCAUCGGCUAACUCCGUGCCAGCAGCCGCGGUAAUACGGAGGAUGCGAGCGUAAUCCGGAUUUAUUGGGUUAAACGGGUGCGUAGGGGGACGCUUAAGUCAGCGGUAAAAUUGCGGGGCUCAACCUCGUCGAGCCGUUGAAACUGGGUGGCUUGAGUGGGCGAGAGGUACGCGGAAUGCGUGGUGUAGCGGUGAAAUGCAUAGAUAUCACGAAGAACUCCGAUGGCGAAGGCAGCGUACCGGCG
Molecule: ribosomal RNA, 398 nt
Filed under: uncultured bacterium
Lineage: Bacteria
Description: partial 16S ribosomal RNA
Rfam family: Bacterial small subunit ribosomal RNA
Source: RNAcentral